GCCGCCCGCUUUCUUCUUUCUUAACACAUGCAAGUCGAACGGAAAGGCCCUGCUUUUGUGGGGUGCUCGAGUGGCGAACGGGUGAGUAACACGUGAGUAACCUGCCCUUGACUUUGGGAUAACUUCAGGAAACUGGGGCUAAUACCGGAUAGGAGCUCCUGCUGCAUGGUGGGGGUUGGAAAGUUUCGGCGGUUGGGGAUGGUCUCGCGGCCUAUCAGCUUGUUGGUGGGGUAGUGGCUUACCAAGGCUUUGACGGGUAGCCGGCCUGAGAGGGUGACCGGCCACAUUGGGACUGAGAUACGGCCCAGACUCCUACGGGAGGCAGCAGUGGGGAAUAUUGCACAAUGGGCGGAAGCCUGAUGCAGCAACGCCGCGUGCGGGAUGACGGCCUUCGGGUUGUAAACCGCUUUCGCCUGUGACGAAGCGUGAGUGACGGUAAUGGGUAAAGAAGCACCGGCUAACUACGUG
This 468-nucleotide ribosomal RNA is filed under the name uncultured bacterium. Its description in RNAcentral is "partial 16S ribosomal RNA". It matches the Rfam family "Bacterial small subunit ribosomal RNA", at positions 34 to 507 of the family's 1533-position model. The record is from RNAcentral.